GGUGGCAGACGUGUCCAUAGGAAAGCACACCUAUCGUCGUUCGGUAGCUAAGCUCAUCAUACUGCCGGAGAUGCCUGCUGAGAAUAAUACAUCAUAGUCACAGGGAUUUUUACUGGAUCCAAAUGUGCUGCACACAUUAGGGGGCAGCUGUAUAAAACUCCCCCAUUACUUGGACUAUUCCUUGCACCCCCUAGCAUAAGCCCGAAUGGUUUCAACCACAUUGCAGCACUAACGUGCACUUGUUGUCAUAACGAGAUCGCCACACCAGUAGCGAUCGGACAAUUGGGAGUGUUGUUCAAUUUGUGUGUUGUGGAUAUGUGUGCGUGCAUGAAAAUAUACCACACCCAUUCACACACCCAUCCAACUACCAUUGCAUGUAAAAUGUACUACCCUGGAAAUCAAUAAAGUAGUUAAACUGGAA
Molecule: long non-coding RNA, 421 nt
Organism: Gymnodraco acuticeps
Lineage: Eukaryota; Metazoa; Chordata; Actinopteri; Perciformes; Bathydraconidae
Exons: 2
Source: RefSeq, a predicted model, not a curated record